UACGAAGGAUUCGAGCGUUAUCCGGAUUUAUUGGGUUUAAAGCGUGCGUAGGCGGACUGAUAAGUCAGUGGUGAAAGCCUGUUGCUUAACAACAGAACUGCCAUUGAUACUGCCAGUCUUGAGUACAGUUGAGGUAGGCGGAAUGUGUCAUGUAGUGGUGAAAUACUUAGAUAUGACACAGAACACCGAUUGCGAAGGCAGCUUGCUAAACUGUAACUGACGCUGAGGCACGAAAGCAUGGGGAGCAAACAGG
RNAcentral lists this ribosomal RNA (253 nucleotides) under uncultured bacterium. Its description in RNAcentral is "partial 16S ribosomal RNA". It matches the Rfam family "Bacterial small subunit ribosomal RNA", at positions 524 to 776 of the family's 1533-position model. The record is from RNAcentral.